GUUUGGCUGAAGCCGUCAAUGCAGUGGGAUCUGAAAGUCGCACUGUAAAUGAGCUUAAAAAGAAAUGGUCUGAUAUAAAGGUGGACGUUAAACGGAGAACUGCUGCGCACCGACAAAGUGUGGGCAGGACAGGCAGUGGUAAAGGGGUCGAUGAACUUACACCCUUUGAGCAGAGAGUUGCCUCAAUUAUGGGUGACACUUUACUCUCUGGAGUAGUAUCUUCUGCUGUGGGAGACUCCGAUUUACAGGAUUGCGACGAAGACCCAUAUGGCGCAACAGCCGAAACAUCCACUUCCCAGGAGGGGCACUCGGAGUCCGCCCCUCCUGAGCAGCCAGCGCCCACUGUGCCCAGCGUUUCCAGUGCUCUCCACAGUGCUGACGCCCGUCCGUCUGGUCGCGUCUUGACACAUGCUGUUUUGGAGUCACAACAGCAAAUCAUUAUGGCCAUCGGGGAAAUUAACAGUCACCUGAAAAAUAUCACUGACGCACUCACAGACAUAAGCCACUCAUUAAAGGAAUUGGUCAAAAAGUGAA
Molecule: long non-coding RNA, 534 nt
Organism: Carassius gibelio (silver crucian carp)
Lineage: Eukaryota; Metazoa; Chordata; Actinopteri; Cypriniformes; Cyprinidae
Exons: 2
Source: RefSeq, a predicted model, not a curated record